Molecule: ribosomal RNA, 755 nt
Filed under: Salmonella enterica
Lineage: Bacteria; Pseudomonadati; Pseudomonadota; Gammaproteobacteria; Enterobacterales; Enterobacteriaceae
Description: partial 23S ribosomal RNA
Rfam family: Bacterial large subunit ribosomal RNA
Source: RNAcentral
GGGUUGUGAGGUUAAGCGACUAAGCGUACACGGUGGAUGCCCUGGCAGUCAGAGGCGAUGAAGGGCGUGCUAAUCUGCGAUGAGCGCCGGUAAGGUGAUAUGAACCGUUAUAACCGGCGAUACCCGAAUGGGGAAACCCAGUGUGACUCGUCACACUAUCAUUAACUGAAUCCAUAGGUUAAUGAGGCGAACCGGGGGAACUGAAACAUCUAAGUACCCCGAGGAAAAGAAAUCAACCGAGAUUCCCCCAGUAGCGGCGAGCGAACGGGGAGGAGCCCAGAGCCUGAAUCAGCAUGUGUGUUAGUGGAAGCGUCUGGAAAGGCGCGCGAUACAGGGUGACAGCCCCGUACACAAAAGCGCAUGUGUUGUGAGCUCGAUGAGUAGGGCGGGACACGUGGUAUCCUGUCUGAAUAUGGGGGGACCAUCCUCCAAGGCUAAAUACUCCUGACUGACCGAUAGUGAACCAGUACCGUGAGGGAAAGGCGAAAAGAACCCCGGCGAGGGGAGUGAAAAAGAACCUGAAACCGUGUACGUACAAGCAGUGGGAGCCCCACCACUAAGCCAGUGGUGAACUCCACAUACGCAUCCUUUGCUGAGGAUACGGUUAACGGAGCGAAAGCGACGUUCAACCGCAAAAGAAGCAGAGGGGGCUUAGUGGUGGGGUGACUGCGUACCUUUUGUAUAAUGGGUCAGCGACUUAUAUUCUGUAGCAAGGUUAACCGUAUAGGGGAGCCGUAGGGAAACCGAGUCUUAAC